RNAcentral lists this ribosomal RNA (500 nucleotides) under uncultured bacterium. Its description in RNAcentral is "partial 16S ribosomal RNA". It matches the Rfam family "Bacterial small subunit ribosomal RNA", at positions 30 to 523 of the family's 1533-position model. The record is from RNAcentral.
AUUGAACGCUGGCGGAAUGCUUUACACAUGCAAGUCGAACGGCAGCACGGACUUCGGUCUGGUGGCGAGUGGCGAACGGGUGAGUAAUGUAUCGGAACGUGCCCAGUCGUGGGGGAUAACGUAGUGAAAAUUACGCUAAUACCGCAUACGAUCUAUGGAUGAGAGCGGGGGAUCGCAAGACCUCGCGCGAUUGGAGCGGCCGAUAACAGAUGAGGUAGUUGGUGGGGUAAAGGACCACCAAGCCAACGAUCUGUAGCUGGUCUGAGAGGACGACCAGCCACACUGGAACUGAGACACGGUCCAGACUCCUACGGGAGGCAGCAGUGGGGAAUUUUGGACAAUGGGCGAAAGCCUGAUCCAGCCAUUCCGCGUGCAGGAUGAAGGCCCUCGGGUUGUAAACUGCUUUUGUACAGAACGAAAAGGUUUCUACUAAUACUAGGAGCUCAUGACGGUACUGUAAGAAUAAGCACCGGCUAACUACGUGCCAGCAGCCGCCGCAG